GACGAACGCUGGCGGCGUGCUUAACACAUGCAAGUCGAACGGAAAGGCCCUGCUUUUGUGGGGUGCUCGAGUGGCGAACGGGUGAGUAACACGUGAGUAACCUGCCCUUGACUUUGGGAUAACUUCAGGAAACUGGGGCUAAUACCGGAUAGGAGCUCCUGCUGCAUGGUGGGGGUUGGAAAGUUUCGGCGGUUGGGGAUGGACUCACGGCUUAUCAGCUUGUUGGUGGGGUAGUGGCUUACCAAGGCUUUGACGGGUAGCCGGCCUGAGAGGGUGACCGGCCACAAUGGGACUGAGAUACGGCCCAGACUCCUACGGGAGGCAGCAGUGGGGAAUAUUGCACAAUGGGCGGAAGCCUGAUGCAGCAACGCCGCGUGCGGGAUGACGGCCUUCGGGUUGUAAACCGCUUUCGCCUGUGACGAAGCGUGAGUGACGGUAAUGGGUAAAGAAGCACCGGCUAACUACGUG
Molecule: ribosomal RNA, 468 nt
Filed under: uncultured bacterium
Lineage: Bacteria
Description: partial 16S ribosomal RNA
Rfam family: Bacterial small subunit ribosomal RNA
Source: RNAcentral